This 935-nucleotide long non-coding RNA is filed under the name Pogona vitticeps (central bearded dragon). Its description in RNAcentral is "lncRNA (ENSPVIG00000017792.1)". Lineage: Eukaryota; Metazoa; Chordata; Lepidosauria; Squamata; Agamidae. The record is from RNAcentral.
UUUUCUGAGGCUAAUAAUAUAACAAGCUUCCUUGGAUUUACCUCCUUCCAGAGCCACGGUAGUUACAUUGACAUCCGGCAAUGCGUAACCAAUCAAGAAACCAGUCGUGAAAGGGUGUCCGUGUCAUCUCACAGUUCCCGCCGGUCGUCACACACAGCACUGUCUGACUCUGCAUCCACGUCGUCUAUACGGCACACGGAUGCCAGCACGCCUACCCGGCCGUCGUUACCCAUGGGGCAAUCCGAGAAGGCCCCUCUGAGGCUUGCCUCAACCAGCAGCACCCCGGUAAGCCAUGUUGACCCCUCGGAGGUCUCUUUGGCCAAGGAAAGCUGGGAAGGACGCCCGAAAGGUUCUCUUCGGGAGGCUAGCAGGAAGUGUCACUGCCUUGUUGAGAUUUUGCUGUUCAUCAUGCAUCCACCAUCUAAUGGCGGGAGGGUCUUAUGACUCAGGUGCUUGGUCUUUUUAGUUGACCUACAGCAAAGACUUAGGAGGAAAACAAAGAUCUGGGCUGAUCUUGCCCUUUUAACAAGUAGGCUGAUUUCCAGCAAUGGGCAGGGAAAGUUUUUCAUAGCCUUUAGGUAUGUCUUACCUUAUCAGUACGUGAUGACUCAGUUGCUGUUAAAGCAAAUGGCACUGGAUUUUUUAUUCUUGGCUUUGGGGUUGUUGGGUCACAGCGAACAGACACUGUUCUCACAUGGCCCAGCUGUGUGUGGUCAACUGACCUGCAGAAAGGGUAGAAACCCAAGGGUAGAAACAGAUUUUGUGACAGCUGGAAGUGUAGCUGCAGGACUAGAACCCUUCUGACAGGCUGGGUUCAGGAGGAAGUAUACCUGAGGGUUUUCUUUCUUUCUUUAUGCCUAUCAGAGAAUUGCACCAUUUAAAAUUAUGGGUACAUAUGAAUUAUAGGUACAAUUAAAGCAAAUUAAAAUGUUACA